RNAcentral lists this long non-coding RNA (1461 nucleotides) under Hordeum vulgare. Its description in RNAcentral is "long non-coding RNA (HVUL_LNC005907)". Lineage: Eukaryota; Viridiplantae; Streptophyta; Magnoliopsida; Poales; Poaceae. The record is from RNAcentral.
AAGAAAGAUAAUCCCACAAGCAGAAAAAAUAAGACAUCCCUCUCGGCUUUCCCAUUGCACUAAUGAGUUUACAACAUGACUUCUCAGUUUCAACAGAGGGACGGACAGACCCUGUUCUUAACAGAUUAUAGUGCCCCUACAGAUCAGGUAGGCACAUAUAAUAUAAAAUAAGAAAAUAUAAGCGGCUCGCAGGCACGCCCCGUUACAAGAAUCCAAACAUGAAACUGGUAUUGAGUCACUCCAUUAAGGAUCUAACGAAGGAAAGUUCAUAGAUUGCCCGUCGCUGGGUUACAGUCUUGUAAGACUUGGUGUUAUCCANAUCCCGGGAGCGGUCUUCUCUUCGGUUUCACUUGGAAUGUGAGUGUUCAUUUGAAGAUCAAGUGUAUGUUCUCGUGCUGAUGAGAAUUUAUUCGGGUGCCAGGCGAACAGUUUCAGCAACAAAACUCGAAAGAGGGUGGUGUCUGGGCUGCCAGUGGCUCUGUGGAAGUGGAAUACAAUAAAGUACGUAUUAUUGUCAGCAUAUUUUAUCUAAUUAUUCUCUCACCGUCGUUCAUUCUAUUUUCAGCUUGAUUCGUGCUUUGCACUUUUUCCGGAUGAGCAAAGCAAGGAGGAAGCCUUCAAAAGAUGCUAAAGCAGAAUUUCCAGACCUCUAGCACCCCUUCCUCAUUUACCUCCUCGCGACUUACCUGCAUGUUAGUUUAUGAAUCAACGUUUUACAUCUAACAAACUCGUUUGUGCUUAUGUAGGUUGUAUGUUUGAUGCCUUCAUGUUGAUGUGAACUGAAGCUUGUUCUUCAAUCUUCAUAUGAAAAGAAACAAGGCAAUAUGUUGGCAGUCAUUUGGAUUCGCUCCACACAUUUCAGUAUAGUUGUGAACCAUUAGUAAAGUCAUGUUCUCCACCAUGUACUCCCUCCGUCCCAAAUUACUUGUCAUAAAAAUGGAGGGAGCAGACAGUUAGUCCUGCAAGGGCAAAUCGUUCUCCCAAAAAGACAGCUACUAGGAAGAACGAGACACGAAGAUAGCUCAGUGAUUCUUCUUUGUCCCUGGAGGUCUUCUUUGUUGUACAACUUGUGCUCCGAUAUAUAUGUUCUCGUACUGUAAAGAUAUUUGCCCGUGGAGGUCUUCUUUGUUGUACAACUUGUGCUUAAAUUUCAGCAAGAGCCCUCGAUUCUGGAGGCAAAGAUUAAUGACCUCUAUUUGUUGGACGACUGGUCAUCUCCGUGCGAUCCACAGACUGAUGAUUUCCUCCAAACAAAAUGCAGAUAAAGUGCAUAUAAUUUGGAAGAGAUACAUGAACAUCCCACAGUUAGACACAUCUGCUACCCUUGUCGCACUUAAUCUGUGUACUUUCUUAGAUGGGAAGAAAACGCAAAUACUUUUGCAUAGGGAAAACAGAUAUAACGCUACAGGUAGCAAAAAAUAAGAUACCUGUCAGCUUUCUCAUUGUACUUAAUGAGUUUAC